GCCACCUUAGCUCAGCUGGUAGAGCAGACGAUUCGUAAUCGUCAGGUCAUGAGUUCGAACCUCAUAGGUGGCU
RNAcentral lists this transfer RNA (73 nucleotides) under Levilinea saccharolytica. It matches the Rfam family "tRNA". From Rfam's summary of the family: Transfer RNA (tRNA) molecules are approximately 80 nucleotides in length. Their secondary structure includes four short double-helical elements and three loops (D, anti-codon, and T loops). The record is from Rfam by way of RNAcentral. Lineage: Bacteria; Bacillati; Chloroflexota; Anaerolineae; Anaerolineales; Anaerolineaceae.